This 877-nucleotide non-coding RNA is filed under the name Stegastes flavilatus (beaubrummel damselfish). RNAcentral's name for it is "partial 12S ribosomal RNA". It matches the Rfam family "Bacterial small subunit ribosomal RNA". The record is from RNAcentral. Lineage: Eukaryota; Metazoa; Chordata; Actinopteri; Pomacentridae.
GGCUGUCCUGACUUUACUGUCAGCUCUAGCUAAAUUUACACAUGCAAGUAUCCGCGCCCCCGUGAGGAUGCCCUACAACUUCCCCUCCCGAAACAAGGAGCCGGUAUCAGGCACAGAUAAUGCUAGCCCAUAACACCUUGCUCAGCCACACCCCCAAGGGAAUUCAGCAGUGAUAAACAUUAAGCUAUAAGUGAAAACUUGACUUAGUUAAAGCUAAGAGGGCCGGUAAAACUCGUGCCAGCCACCGCGGUUAUACGAGAGGCUCAAGUUGACAGACACGGCGUAAAGAGUGGUUAGGCAACCCCCCCCAACUAAAGUCGAACGGCCUCAAGGCAGUUAUAAGCGGUACGAAGGCACGAAGCUCAUCCACGAAAGUGACUUUACUCUACCUGACUCCACGAAAGCUGAGAAACAAACUGGGAUUAGAUACCCCACUAUGCUCAGUCCUAAACUUUGAUAGUCCACUACAACCCCUAUCCGCCCGGGUAUUACGAGCUCUAGCUUAAAACCCAAAGGACUUGGCGGUGCUUUAGACCCAUCUAGAGGAGCCUGUCCUAUAACCGAUAAUCCACGUUUAACCUUACCCUCUCUUGCUCUUCCAGCCUAUAUACCGCCGUCGUCAGUCGACCCCGUGAGGGACGCAUAGUUUGCACAAUCGGCACAGCCCAAUACGCCAGGUCGAGGUGUAGCUAAUGAGAGGGGAAGAGAUGGGCUACAUUUCCUUGUGUUCAGGAAAUACGGAUGCUAUACUGAAAUACUAUUUUUGAAGGUGGAUUUAGUAGUAAGUAGAAAUUAGAAUGUUCUACUGAAUCUGGCUCUGAAGCGCGCACAUACCGCCCGUCACUCUCCCCUAAUGACCAUCUAACAGUAUUUAAAA